GAGUUUGAUCCUGGCUCAGAUUGAACGCUGGCGGCAUGCCUUACACAUGCAAGUCGAACGGCAGCAUGAUCUAGCUUGCUAGAUUGAUGGCGAGUGGCGAACGGGUGAGUAAUACAUCGGAACGUGCCCUGUAGUGGGGGAUAACUAGUCGAAAGAUUAGCUAAUACCGCAUACGACCUGAGGGUGAAAGUGGGGGACCGCAAGGCCUCAUGCUAUAGGAGCGGCCGAUGUCUGAUUAGCUAGUUGGUGGGGUAAAGGCCCACCAAGGCGACGAUCAGUAGCUGGUCUGAGAGGACGAUCAGCCACACUGGGACUGAGACGCGGCCCAGACUCCUACGGGAGGCAGCAGUGGGGAAUUUUGGACAAUGGGCGAAAGCCUGAUCCAGCAAUGCCGCGUGUGUGAAGAAGGCCUCGG
Molecule: ribosomal RNA, 415 nt
Filed under: uncultured microorganism
Description: bacterial SSU rRNA
Rfam family: Bacterial small subunit ribosomal RNA
Source: RNAcentral